UCGUCCAGAUUCAUGGAGCGUCUCGCCUGCGUCUUGUCGUCAUCUAUCUGCCGCUAACGCGACCACCGUGACGGCCCGCGGCUACUGGAAGUGCGCCCAGACGCCAACACAGAUAAAUAAACAACAACGGCGUCACGCCCGCGGGCUCCGUGACUAACCAGCCUUCGCCGUCACAUCUCCACGGGAGAACAUGGCUGCUCGUAGAUGAGCUGAUACGCGGCUGGAGACGCACACAGUGGGGCUGAAAUGAAGGCGGGGUUUAUCGAUUGCUGGCGGCGGGAUCAAAUCUCCGAGGCGUACGUCUAAAUAUCCCGCAAUGAUAUCCUCGCUAUGAAAGGCUGUCAGAAAAACGACCACAAUGCCGUUUGCAGUGAAGACAGAGCACCUGUUGAGCAGUGAGGACGCUGCAGACGUCUGCUUUUUCAGCACCACGGACAGCACCACAUCACAACAAUGAGGGAUGAAUAGAAAUAACACGAGGAGGAGGAGGAGGAGGGGAAAAGAGAGAGUGGUGUGGCCAUGUCAUGAGGGAUUAGCCCACUUCCACGCUGCCUGUCAUCUCACACGGAUAGACAGAUGUGUUGAACUUACCUGCAAAAACGAUGAUUCCACCGGCACUCCCUGCACUCCAACGCCGCCUCCCUGAACCUCCAGCCCGGUCACUCUUCCCGCACGCACGCCGUCAAGGAACCCGUGAUGUCAUUUGUGCCGCAGUCAGCAUUCUAGCUGGGAAGUGUGGGAGGAGACCUGACAAGACACCUGUUUGGAAGAGGGUGACCGCAUCGCUUCUGCACUCCCGUAAAUGUUGGAACAUCUUUUUGCUGGGCCAGCACAGGGGAACAUGCAACAGUACACAACAACACUUUAUACAAGUAGAAAUAAAAUGACUAGAUAUAACUGAACAUUGAGUUUUACAUUAUAGUUGCACUCAACUCAAUCCACAUUGUAAACUACUUUUUCAAAAAAGUACAAAUCUAAAACUAAUUGGGGAAAAAAGAUCAAAAACUAAUAAAUGACUAAAAUAAAUUAAAAAAAAUAAAUCUUUGCAAGUUAGAUGUGUUUUUUCCAAGCAUUACAAGUGAACUUUGCAAAGAGUCAAACCUCAGCUUUGUCAAUUCCCCCAUUUUUUUGUAAAGUAUUGCAUGCAACAAAAGAGUCUGCCCUGUAUGGCCUUGUUCUGAAAAAACAAGCACCCAAGUGUUGCUGACCCACUGUCCAUGUUUUUUUUUUUUUUUGAGUGACUGCUACAGUAAAUAACCUGCCACGGGGCCAAAGAAAGCUGCAAGUGCAGAACCAAUAUUGAAUUUGUUCCAUGCAUUCAUCAUUUAGAAUUAGUUCACAUUGUCUACUGCGAGUACAACUACAGUCUUUCUCCAUCAAAUGGAUUUUUAAUAUUUUGGGUGUUUGUAAGGGAGUCAUUGGAUUUCCUGUGCGAGGGGGAAAAAAAAUUGCCUUGUUUUGCAAUUUUUUUUGGAACAAAUUAACAACCAUGCAGGUCUGGAUUUGGUGUCACACUCAAAAUGAAAGUGGAAAAAGACCUCAUUCUAUCCCAUUUACUCAACAGCAUGUGAAAUUGAUUGUCAAGUGUGAAUUGAGUGCUCCCUUUAUUUUUUGGAGCAGUGUAUAAAUAAAUGUAAAAAGUGCAACUGCCAUAAUCAUAGCACUGAUCUAUUACAUCACACAAUACUUUUAUUUUUUAUUUAUUUAUAUUGUUUUUAAAAAGGGAUAGUUCAGAUUUUUUGUAGUAGUAUGACCUCCCCCGUCAGCGGCGAAGGCAAGCAACUCGACUUACACCACCCCACUCUGUCUCCUAAUUCCAGUUCUGAUCGGAUUUUGGCGAUGAAGAACGUAGUUCUAAAGAGUUCUAAAGAGUAAUAAAUACAUUUUCAUUACAAAAAUGCCUUCCCAAAAAAAUCUGACCUCACAAAACGCUCGGCGUUAUAUUUGUGCACUCAUGUGUAUGUGAAGAAGACACCUGCGGUAAUGCCACUCUUCCUUAAAUGUGUGUUCCACAGCGGAGGAAGAUGCGAGCGUCUUCAGUGUGCAGGAAUACGGCGGGAGACAAACAUAACACUGAGCGUUUGUGAGGCCGGAUUUUUCUGAGAAGGCAUUUUUGUGAGGCAAAUGUAUUUCUCUUUUGAAUGCAUAUUGUUUUGAGAAGUCAAACUCUUUGCUUAAAUGUCCCCAGCAACUAAGCGGAUCUGCGUUCAUCACCAAAAUCUGACCAGAACUGGAUUGAGGAGAUCAAGUGGGGGUUAAGUCUCUGUUGCUGGACUACACUACUGAUAGAGAUGUCAUACAACUUAAUGUAAAAAAAAAAUAAAAUAAAAUAAAAUAAAAAUCCCAACCAUCUCUUUAAGUCUCGUUUCAGUCAUUUUUACUGAAAAUGAAAUUUUUGCACAAUAUUUCAUAGUUUUUCUUUGAAAAUUUAAACAUACUUGAUAUUUGGUUUGCAAGAAUAGCACCACUUGCCAAACAUCCAGCCACUAGGGGGUAGAGAAACUGGCACUUGCU
Long non-coding RNA from Dunckerocampus dactyliophorus (ringed pipefish), 2514 nucleotides. RefSeq lists it as uncharacterized. The transcript is spliced from 3 exons. The record is from RefSeq and is a predicted model, not a curated record. Lineage: Eukaryota; Metazoa; Chordata; Actinopteri; Syngnathiformes; Syngnathidae.